This 383-nucleotide long non-coding RNA is filed under the name Hordeum vulgare. Its description in RNAcentral is "long non-coding RNA (HVUL_LNC001616)". The record is from RNAcentral. Lineage: Eukaryota; Viridiplantae; Streptophyta; Magnoliopsida; Poales; Poaceae.
GUCGAUUGGCCCGAAUCUUGUGAGCGAACAUAGGUUACAUGUAUUGAUCCCUUCCGCCUCGAAUUCUCCGUCCCCGGGGCUAUAUAAAGCAAGUUUCUCGCUCCAUCUCCUCUACUCUUCCCUAGCGGACCUCCUCUGCUCUUAGCUUCACAUGGAAAACUCGCCAUGGAUCCCCUCACUCGCAGGUUGACGGUGAGGAGUGAAGUGAAGCCUUCUCUAAUUUAGCAGCGAAGGUUGGUAACUUACUCUUUUUACAUAUCUAGAUUUUGUUUGAUGUAGUUAUGGAAAAUAUUUGCGGAUACGGCACAAAAGACGUGAUUUAUUCUUCUAUAUAUAAAACCCUUACUAUGUCCGGUGAUUCAUCGGCAACCGGGAGGGGGGGG